This 1324-nucleotide long non-coding RNA is filed under the name Ovis aries (sheep). RNAcentral describes it as "lncRNA (ENSOARG00000025607.1)". The record is from RNAcentral. Lineage: Eukaryota; Metazoa; Chordata; Mammalia; Artiodactyla; Bovidae.
GCAAACCCAUGGACAGUAGCUUGCCAGGCUCCUCUGUCCAUGGGAUUUCCCAGACAAGAAUACUGGAGUGGGUUGCCAUUCCCUUCUCCAGGGGAUCUUCCCCACUCAGGAUCAACCCUGCUGGGUCUCCUGCAUUGCAGGUGGAUUCUUUUUUUUUUUUUUUUAAAUUAUAUGACAUUUUUAUUUUAGGAUGCGAAAACAAAAAUGAGCAAACAAACAAACAAAAAACUUGAAAUAGGCUUGUCAAAUGGUGUAAAUUCAUCCUUUCCAUGGAAGCAGAAGGCAGAUCAGUGCAGGUUAUCCUCAGGGCCUCACACAUCCUGCUUCACUGCUGCUUGCACUCUGCUGGGUUCUGAUCAUUCUUUGGGUCAUGGUCUGGAUCAUUUUCCUCAUCUCCUUCUUCUUCCCCUUCCUCAUCGGCUUCUUCACCUUCUUCAUCAUAAUUAUCAUCAUCAUCUUCAAUCUUGGCCUUUUCUUUCAGCUCCUCCGAAAUUUCAUCUUCCUCAUCUGGUUUCCAUUCACAUUCUUCUUCUGUAGGUUCAUAAAUGGCAUUAAUGAUCUCAAAUCGCUUAUCAAACAGAGGCUGAUAAAGAACAGCAUACUUUCUUUCAAGAUCAUGAACUUCCUCAUAGAAUUUGGCUUCUAUCUGUGCACAUUUAACUUGAAGGUUUUUGAGAGCAUUCACUCGUCUUUUAACUACCCUAGGCAAGCUUUCAAUGUAUCCUGUUGGUGUUUCUACCAGACCAUCAAGUCUUUCUUGAAGGGCUGCAAGAAUCUGAGGAUUUUGCAUCAUCUGAACAGUCAGCUGACGCCCUUUGAUUUUUGUUUCUUCACCAGUGUUUUCUUCUUCUACUUCUUCAACAUCAUCCAAAUCUUGAUCAAGUUCAGACUGUUCUUUGUUGUCGAUGUCUGCCAUGUUGUACAAAUGCCAAGUAUCGGUGGCGAGCGCGGGGAGCCGAGCGGCCCGAGGUGCACAGGCAGUGACUCAGGGCGGUGGCGGGAUAAGUUUAUAAGAGUACAAUAUAAUAUUUAACUGUAGUAUUACCAUUCAAUGGUUAAUUCCAGAAAGUCAGAGAGACAAUCAAAUAAAAUAUUACCUAUUCUAAUCAAAUUAAUUAUAUCAUACACCUCAGUACAGCUUUUAUUAUUUUGACAUAUAUACUAGUUAUUAUUCUCAUAAGAAAAGAUAUUUUCCAAAGCAUUAUAUAUAAAUACUAGAGAGAAAUUUUUGAUGUAGAUGUAUCACAGCCUACCCCUAGUAUCCAACCUACAUAUGUUACAUACAUACUCUCAUACAUGAAUUGCUAUUAGAUUUGCUAAAAGC